GAGCAUGAUGUCACUGACUGAACGUCAGUGUCUGAACUGAUGAAUCCUCUGCGGCCGAACCCAUAAAUCUGACGGAGUGCAGCAACCAGCGCUCGGAGGGACGAGUGGAGGGGGGUUCGUAGGACACACCCAUUGGCAGAGGAGAGUGGGAUGAAAGGAACUGGGAGGGCAGCUCUGCAGCACUGCAUGUGCUCCAGAUCAGGCCAUGUGCACACAGGGAAAGCACCAUGGUGUUUUCCAAGGACCGUCAUUCCUCUCUGACACACACUGUGCAUCCACACCGCGCUUUUCCCCGAACUCCUCCCCUCUCGGCCCGUCUGUUUCUCUCAUAUUGUGUCUCGGUAUCGGCUGCCCACUCUCUCUCUCUCUCUCUCUGGCUGGGUCAUGGUAGUGGAGUAGUUUACAGCUCUUGGUCAGCUCCGUGUGUGUCGCGCUGUGUGUG
Salarias fasciatus (jewelled blenny) is the source of this 442-nucleotide long non-coding RNA. RefSeq lists it as uncharacterized. The record is from RefSeq and is a predicted model, not a curated record. NCBI's taxonomy places the organism in Eukaryota, Metazoa, Chordata, Actinopteri, Blenniiformes, Blenniidae. The transcript has 4 exons.